Molecule: long non-coding RNA, 516 nt
Organism: Haliotis rubra (blacklip abalone)
Lineage: Eukaryota; Metazoa; Mollusca; Gastropoda; Lepetellida; Haliotidae
Exons: 2
Source: RefSeq, a predicted model, not a curated record
CUCAGAGAGGUCAUGAUGCAUCAGAUGCUGAGAUAACCUGUCUCCCACUGCUCUCUCUAUCACCUUGGACAUGAAGAAAAGGAGACCAUUCAGGCAUUUCUACAGAUUCCCAAGCAUGAAUGCUCUUAUGUUCAGCUGAGAACAAAAAUGAUGAACAAGCAGAAAAUACAGCAGCAAAGGACAAGGAAGAGAUGGCACACAUUUCAAGAAUAAGAUUAACUUAAAAAUAUUCAGAUUAUUUCUAAGGGAUGUUACAUUUGGGAAUUCACUUUCCCAGUAAAGUACAGAUACUAGUACUUUGCUGGUGGGGGUGGAGUCAAUCCCAUGUGUGAUUUGAACCAACCCUCUCAGAGUGAAACACCUCAUCACAAAACAACAUAGUCAGCAAUUUAACCUGACAAAUGUUAGUCUAGGUCUCGCUUCAGAGAAGUGUAAAUGCAAAAAUUACAAAGUUUUGCAAAGUUAUGAAUGUAAGCAUGUCAAAGCUAUAUGGUUUAAUAAAUAAUAAUUAUUAAA